CUUCUGAUGUUUUUUGAGGUCUUGAUUAAUGAGCAUCACCUGAAGGUCUUGUUUGUCCUAUUUAUCAUCUGCUGGCCACUGCAGCACUCCUAGUGAUGGUCUAUGAAGAAACUUGGUGGGAUCUCUUUGCCCAUUGCAGGGCUCUUGCAUUAUUCAGAAAGGUGCUUCUGCUAUCUGAAGAGUAAUUGAGGCAAUCAGGUGCUGUCUUCCAGAGCAACUGCUGGUGGAAACCAUGAGGAUGAGAAAACUCUCAUCUUGGAAAGCCCACAUAUUUUUGUGUGCAAAAUAAGUUUUCCUUAUAUAAAUCUGCAAGAUACAAUGAGUGAAGACAGAAGGAGGAGUAAGCAGGAGGGGAAGCAAACUGAAAGAAAACUGGUGACGGGCUGAAGAGAGGAGGGAGGGACGGCAUGGCAUGGAGCAGGCCAAGCAGAGGCUGCUCAGAGUAAACUCUUCACCUACAUUUCUGACCUACCCUCCUGCUGAAUCACAGGAUUGGAUUUUCAAUUUAGGCAUGACCUGUGGAAAAAUAGUAAUGUGAAUAGCUGGCUGAUUGCUAUCAGAUAGCAAUAGACUCCAUUCACUUAAAAGUCCAGAUGCACUGCUAGGGUAGUGCAAGGGUCAAUCAUCAGUUAUACAAAUCCCAAGCAACUGAAGCAAAUAAGCAGGCUGAUGGAUAGAAACUCUCUUGUUUUCUGCUAGAUCUAGGAAACCAUUAUGUUGGCAAAAAAAAAAAGGGCAGAUAUUGAAAUUGCCUAUGUUCCAGGGCUCAGCCACAUACAUCCUCACAUGUUGCCUCAUGCAAGUAACUCUCUGAUAAAGUUCAUUGCCUUGUUCCAAAUGAAGUUCAUUCAAAUAAAAGUACUUUUAAAUUUCACAUUCUGCACACAUGUGGAUCACAAAUGCAGGUGGUAUUAUGGACAGAAUUGGGUGGCCUGAUCUGCAUGUUAUGAUUUCUUCUCCUUCCUCCUGGAAAGAUGAGAAAUAAUCACAAAUUCUUGGUCUACUGGAAGAGCAGGCUGACCCAAGCUUUCUCUUGUGGUAACACAUCUUCCCUUUUCUUGUUGGAAAGUUCAAUGCAUGUUUCCAUUCUUUUCUACUGAGUUCCCAGAAGAGCUGAGGCUGUCCCUCAUCAACGCAGAGAUGAGAACAAUGCAGACGGUGCCUGCAGGAUGCUCCUUGCCCUCUAGAGACCCUCAUGAGAAGCUCAGGCCCCCAGGGGAGUUGGCGAGAAGGUGGCAAUCUGCAAUACCUCACACCUGCACCACAGGAGACCUACCUUCAAUUUUUAAGGAACUAUGAUCCACCUCAGAGGAUCUUGUAUGUUAACAUGUUGCCUACAGAUCGUGAGUGGGGCUGAAAGGUUCUGUAUGGGGGAUCAAUACAGUCAGUCUGUUGGAAAGCUUUUGGCCUUUGUGAUACUGCUGUUGACUCGUAUGGGAAAGACUCUCUUCAUCUCCAAGAGUAUCACCUCACAUGGUUAAACCUCAUGGCUGUAGCAGAGAACAUGACUAAUUAUUGAAUUGGAGACUGAUUGAUGCACGAAAGACUCUGCAGUAGUGGGGACCUGGAUGGUGGUUCAGGCAGUCUUCCCUUUUUUGUUUCUACUGCCAGCAGCAGAGUUUCACAGCUAAUGCCCUUGCUCAGGAGCAGAGAGGAGGCUUUGAAGCACCCACUCUGAUCUCUGCAGGGGAGAUGGGAGCCUUCUGAGAGCUCAGAGCAGAGAUACCCUUUGGGCUCAGGCUGCUUCACCUCCUUAGAAAGAAGUGUAACUCAAUUCCCACACAGCUUUUAGCACAGGUCAUCUGAAAAUGCCCACACAUUGCAGAAUACGCUGUCAAAAAUAAUGAUGAAUUGCAUGCUGCACUUGUUAUACGUGAAGAAAUUGAACUCAGUAUUUCACCCAGCAAUCCUCAAAGUAUCCCUAGAUCAUAAUAUUCAGUUUAUAUUUAUUGCUUUUUCACCCCACAUUGCUUUGCUAUUCCAGGUGUGCUGGCAUACUCUACUCUAAAUUCUCUUUUCCCCUUAUGACUAAUCAGUGAUGAAGGCAUCUUUGUAAUCAUGAGGGAAGAAGUAGUUCCAUAUUGAAAAGGCUCUUGCUAAAUGAGGCAGAAAGGAAAACAAUACCUCAACAUUUCUUAUCUAUUAUUCCCCUGCAUUCAUGCAAUGCAAGCAAUUCAAAUAAUAUCCAAUUGUGUCAUUCCUGUUAAAAGAUGCAGCACUAUCUAGCUUGAAGGGAAAGCUCUUUUCCUUACAAAGACUUCUCUUUUUAUGGGAAAUUUGAUAUCAAGGUCUAAUCCUGUUUCUGACUCGGCUUCAGAUAUGAAACUGAGUCUACUUAAAGUUGCAAAAUAAUUUCAGAUUCAACCACUCAUUAAAGAUCUGCAGCAGACCCUGAUGAUUUUUCUUCCCGUAGAACACCAUUGUAAUCGAUAAAGAUUUUUCUGAAUAAAUGGAGAAAGAAAGGAUCUGUAAUGAAGGUCCAAUAAAAGUCAAGGUAGGAGAAAUGAAAAAUAGAUGGUUAAAACCCAGGAAGCAAUGGAACUUCAAAUUGGAAGUUAGGCUGAUGUGGAAAUUUAAGCAGGAUUAGCAUCAGGCUUAAUUGUCAUUAAUACAAUACUUAGAUUUUAUUUUCUAUUCCUGUGUCAUCCUUAUUUUGUAGUCAGAUUAAACUUUCAAGCCUUUGUCACAAGAGGAGCUGUUGCAAUGACUGAGUCUAGAGCCCUGAGGAUGACGUCUCCCUCUUCACUACUAAUUGCUCCCAUUUUGCAGAUGACCUUGGAGAUCUACCAUCAUUCUAUCAGCAGCUUCUCGUGCAGGACAGGGACAGCUGGUGGGGCAAGUGAAGGUGCCCCAGACCUGAACAUGUGCUGUGAGAUGGUGAAAGCUUUGUCCCACUUCCCAGCCCUUCUCAGACAGCCAGGUGGCAGCCUUCUGCCUGUCAGCCUUGCACAGCUCAGCCUCACACCUUACCAGAGCGCUGAAUCAAAGCACUAAGGCCUACAGUUAAUAUUUUCACCAAAUCUAUGAACUGUGUGCUGUUCUGUAUAUCAUCCACAAGUGGCACAUUGUGAAAGAGUCACUACCUAGG
This is a long non-coding RNA of Gallus gallus (chicken), 3088 nucleotides long. The record is from Ensembl. Lineage: Eukaryota; Metazoa; Chordata; Aves; Galliformes; Phasianidae.